This 253-nucleotide ribosomal RNA is filed under the name uncultured bacterium. RNAcentral's name for it is "partial 16S ribosomal RNA". It matches the Rfam family "Bacterial small subunit ribosomal RNA", at positions 524 to 776 of the family's 1533-position model. The record is from RNAcentral.
UACAGAGGGUGCGAGCGUUGUCCGGAAUCACUGGGCGUAAAGGGCGCGUAGGUGGUGACCUAAGCGUGCGGUGAAAGCCCGAGGCUCAACCUCGGGUCGGCCGUGCGAACUGGGUCACUGGAGCAGAAUAGAGGCAGGUGGAAUUCCGGGUGUAGCGGUGGAAUGCGUAGAGAUCCGGAAGAACACCGGUGGCGAAGGCGGCCUGCUGGGUUCUGGCUGACACUGAGGCGCGACAGCGUGGGGAGCAAACGGG